AGCCUUGUGGCUUAGUGGUUCGAGAACCUGUCUAGUAAAGCAGGGUAUCCUGGGUUCAAAUCCCAGUGGGGUCU
This 74-nucleotide transfer RNA is filed under the name Monodelphis domestica (gray short-tailed opossum). It matches the Rfam family "tRNA". From Rfam's summary of the family: Transfer RNA (tRNA) molecules are approximately 80 nucleotides in length. Lineage: Eukaryota; Metazoa; Chordata; Mammalia; Didelphimorphia; Didelphidae. The record is from Rfam by way of RNAcentral.